This 1120-nucleotide long non-coding RNA is filed under the name Neodiprion pinetum (white pine sawfly). Its description in RNAcentral is "uncharacterized LOC124217424". The record is from RNAcentral. Lineage: Eukaryota; Metazoa; Arthropoda; Insecta; Hymenoptera; Diprionidae.
AAGGGCUAAAAAAAAAAAACGAAAACGAGGUUACAUUACAUAUUCUUUUGGUCCAUGAGAAUCAUGUACCGUAUUCUAGGACACCGCUGGUUUGAGUAAAAUUAAAGUUUAGUCAGCUCACAGGUUGACAAAGCCGGUCGGCAUAUGUGAAGCGUGGCCUGAUUGCCACGAGCACAUGUUCGCAACAAGUUUCAGCACAUUUUAAUGUAAAACAAUUCCCAUCGAUGGAAGUGCCGGAUUCAAUGGAAAUUACGACAAAUCGGGACUAUAAUCAACGUGCGUACCUCAGCAGGAUGAACGGGCGUAAUGGUAGAGAAAGCGGAUGUCACCCUGGCGCAGGCAAGGAUGCCAGGAAAUACGAGAUGUCUCUAAUGCCAACCAAUCAACUCGCGACCAUCAUCGCACGUGCGUUCCGAAAUCCGCACUUCGUGUUGUUGGUAAUUUUAUUCUCUUUCACGCUCUCGAGUUUAUGACUGCUGCCUCUAUCUUAGGAAGUUUUUAGCGCUGCCAACAAAUUUCGGAACGCACCGUAAAUCAUCCAAUCUAGGGAUCCUAGGCCAAACUUUCGUUAUUAGUAGGUAACCGCACUUUUCAAACACUCAACUAAGGAGAUUUUAUUUAUUGAAAUAUUGGUAUAAUAAUGAUUACGUAUAAUAUACUUCCUGAAUCAAGUAAAUCUGUCAGAAUUGUUGUUUCUUAACUAAAAUUUCUCAUGCAUAGGGACGAAAAUAAUUUCGAGAUAUGUACUUACAUUCACACAUUGACUGUGGAAUUCUUCAGUUAUAUCGAGGUAUCUCUAAGUAACGAUUGUGUUGCACGUGAUUCUUUAUUCUACAAUAUUGAGCUACACUAAAAAAUAUGCCUGUACACGUUCACCAAUUGUAAAAUUAUAGAGCAUUAACAGAUAGAGUUAAAUUAAAUUUGUUAUGAACGUACAAGUGACUUACCAGAGUAACUUGACCUUAUAAAGUUAUAGGUAAUUUUACCAAUCGCACACAAAAAAAAUAUGAAAUUGAAACUUUAAUAUUAUUAUUAUUGAAUACUGCGCUUAAGUUGUGAAGUAACCAGACGCUACAGAACAAACUGCCCUCACAUUUAUAGAUACAAUUAAAAUGUUUAA